UGGGGAAUUUUGGACAAUGGGCGAAAGCCUGAUCCAGCAAUGCCGCGUGUGUGAAGAAGGCCUUCGGGUUGUAAAGCACUUUUGUCCGGAAAGAAAUCCUUGGCUCUAAUACAGUCGGGGGAUGACGGUACCGGAAGAAUAAGCACCGGCUAACUACGUGCCAGCAGCCGCGGUAAUACGUAGGGUGCAAGCGUUAAUCGGAAUUACUGGGCGUAAAGCGUGCGCAGGCGGUUUGCUAAGACCGAUGUGAAAUCCCCGGGCUCAACCUGGGAACUGCAUUGGUGACUGGCAGGCUAGAGUAUGGCAGAGGGGGGUAGAAUUCCACGUGUAGCAGUGAAAUGCGUAGAGAUGUGGAGGAAUGCCGAUGGCGAAGGCAGCCCCCUGGGCCAAUACUGACGCUCAUGCACGAAAGCGUGGGGAGCAAACAGGAUUAGAUACCCUGGUAGUCCACGCCCUAAACGAUGUCAACUAGCUGUUGGGGCCUUCGGGCCUUGGUAGCGCAGCUAACGCGUGAAGUUGACCGCCUGGGGAGUACGGUC
Molecule: ribosomal RNA, 539 nt
Filed under: uncultured bacterium
Lineage: Bacteria
Description: partial 16S ribosomal RNA
Rfam family: Bacterial small subunit ribosomal RNA
Source: RNAcentral